AGGACGAACGCUGGCGGCGUGCUUAACACAUGCAAGUCGAGCGGUAAGGCCCUUUCGGGGUACACGAGCGGCGAACGGGUGAGUAACACGUGAGCAAUCUGCCCUUCACUUCGGAUAAGCCUCGGAAACGGGUCUAAUACCGGAUAUGACUGCGCCAUGCAUGUGGUGUGGUGGAAGUUCUGGCGGUGAGGGAUGAGCUCGCGCCUAUCGAGUCGUUGGUUGGGUGGGGUAAUCGGUACCUACCGAAGGUCUUCGGACGGGUACGCCGGCGUGGAGGACGGGUCGACCGGCCACGACCGUGGACUAGACGACCGACGGCCCAGACCUCCGUACGGAGCGAGCAGGU
This 346-nucleotide ribosomal RNA is filed under the name uncultured soil bacterium. Its description in RNAcentral is "bacterial SSU rRNA". It matches the Rfam family "Bacterial small subunit ribosomal RNA", at positions 26 to 355 of the family's 1533-position model. The record is from RNAcentral.